GACAACCCAAGAGGGGGGGUGAAUUGGGUUUUCUAAAAAUUAUGUUUCCUAAUUUUUACUUUGAAUUGAAUGCAGCGGAAUAAUAAGAUGUUAUUUACUUAAGUUCUAGGCGAUUACACGUAAAGUAGUGGAAGAUUAAGCUAGAGCAAUUAUAAUAUAUGAGAAUGGUAAGGAUGGAGUGGAAGCUAAGCAAGUUCUAAACAAUCACUUAUAAAUCAAUAGGAAACAAAGCUAGAGAUAUUACACAAUCAAGUAUGAAUGUAAGGCAUGAAACACAA
RNAcentral lists this long non-coding RNA (278 nucleotides) under Phoenix dactylifera (date palm). RNAcentral's name for it is "long non-coding RNA (PDAC_LNC008947)". Lineage: Eukaryota; Viridiplantae; Streptophyta; Magnoliopsida; Arecales; Arecaceae. The record is from RNAcentral.